CGAACUUUCUUACCUGGCUCAGGACGAACGCUGGCGGCGUGCCUAAUACAUGCAAGUUGAGCGCUGAAGGUUGGUACUUGUACCAACUGGAUGAGCAGCGAACGGGUGAGUAACGCGUGGGGAAUCUGCCUUUGAGCGGGGGACAACAUUUGGAAACGAAUGCUAAUACCGCAUAAAAACUUUAAACACAAGUUUUAAGUUUGAAAGAUGCAAUUGCAUCACUCAAAGAUGAUCCCGCGUUGUAUUAGCUAGUUGGUGAGGUAAAGGCUCACCAAGGCGAUGAUACAUAGCCGACCUGAGAGGGUGAUCGGCCACAUUGGGACUGAGACACGGCCCAAACUCCUACGGGAGGCAGCAGUAGGGAAUCUUCGGCAAUGGACGAAAGUCUGACCGAGCAACGCCGCGUGAGUGAAGAAGGUUUUCGGAUCGUAAAACUCUGUUGGUAGAGAAGAACGUUGGUGAGAGUGGAAAGCUCAUCAAGUGACGGUAACUACCCAGAAAGGGACGGCUAACUACGUGCCAGCAGCCGCGGUAAUACGUAGGUCCCGAGCGUUGUCCGGAUUUAUUGGGCGUAAAGCGAGCGCAGGUGGUUUAUUAAGUCUGGUGUAAAAGGCAGUGGCUCAACCAUUGUAUGCAUUGGAAACUGGUAGACUUGAGUGCAGGAGAGGAGAGUGGAAUUCCAUGUGUAGCGGUGAAAUGCGUAGAUAUAUGGAGGAACACCGGUGGCGAAAGCGGCUCUCUGGCCUGUAACUGACACUGAGGCUCGAAAGC
RNAcentral lists this ribosomal RNA (771 nucleotides) under Lactococcus lactis subsp. lactis. Its description in RNAcentral is "bacterial SSU rRNA". It matches the Rfam family "Bacterial small subunit ribosomal RNA", at positions 1 to 760 of the family's 1533-position model. The record is from RNAcentral. Lineage: Bacteria; Bacillati; Bacillota; Bacilli; Lactobacillales; Streptococcaceae.